AAAGAGCAAAAGAAGAAGAAGUUGUGAUGGCUUCCUCUAUGCUCUCCUCUGCCGCUGUGGUUACCUCCCCAGCUCAAGCCACCAUGGUCGCUCCAUUCACCGGCUUGAAGUCAUCCGCUACUUUCCCCGUCACCCGCAAGGCCAACAACGACAUUACUUCUAUCUCAAGCAACGGCGGAAGAGUUAGCUGCAUGAAGGUAAUGUCCUAUAAAAACUGUAUUUUGUCAUGUGUAAUUAGUGAAAUUGAACAAAACUUAGAAUAAUUGGAAUUGGGAGUUAUAGGUGUGGCCACCAAUUGGAAAGAAGAAGUUUGAGACUCUAUCUUACCUCCCUGACCUUACUGACGUCGAAUUGGCUAAGGAAGUUGACUACCUUCUCCGCAACAAGUGGAUUCCUUGUGUUGAAUUCGAGUUAGAGGUAAUAAACACUGGACCUUUCGUUUGUCUCUAAUCAUUAUAUAUUAUUUUCUUACAUAGCUAAAAACCAAAGUCAAUAAGCUUAUUUUCGUUUGUCUCUAAUCAUUGUUCAUUGAAUGGAUUUCGUAUUCAUUUAUAGCAUGGAUUUGUGUACCGUGAGCAUGGAAACACACCUGGAUACUACGAUGGACGGUACUGGACAAUGUGGAAGCUUCCAUUGUUCGGAUGCACCGACUCCGCUCAAGUGUUGAAGGAAGUGCAAGAGUGCAAGAAGGAGUACCCUAACGCCUUCAUUAGGAUCAUCGGAUUUGACAACAACCGUCAAGUCCAGUGCAUCAGUUUCAUUGCCUACAAGCCCCCAAGCUUCACUGAUUCUUAAUUAAAUCCUUUCUGGAAUAUUCAAUGUUGACUAUCCGGAACAAUUUUGUAUGGUCAAUGUAAAUUUAAGUAACUAUUAUCUAGCCAACUUAAACGUUGAGCAAUUGUUUUGCGAAAAGUGAAAAAGUUGAAGGUUUAUUUUCUAUCAUUUCCUCUAUAAUUAUAUCUAUUCAUAUCAUUUCAUUUUUGAUCUUAUCACUUUGAACUCUUUCAUCUUCGAUUUAGCUCUUUUAAGCAACAUUUUAUUUCCUUUACAUUUCCCUCCUAAUUUUUGCUUUUGAUUCUCUAGACUAACCUAUAAUAGAAGAGAGACCUUUUUAGAUACCUUUUUGGAAAAACUUUGCACAUGAAAUCAUAACAAAGAUGCCUCAAUAAAUCAAAUCUCGAAAGGGCCAGUACCUUGUGACUUAGAUGGAUGGGCUAGGACGAUCUCGCUUUCGAAAAAAAGAUUUAUUUGAUUUUGCUGUGGGUGGAGCAAUGUUGACUACCUCCGCACUAUUUUCUUGAACGGUUUUGGCUAUUUUGUACCUUGUACGCGCUUCUGCUCACGGGAAAUUUGUGAGCUUUAAGUUGGUAUUGUGGAUCCAUGACCAUAGCUUCUUCCUGUGGCCUUAGGGAGAGUUCUUGCCUCGGUUCCACACCGUCCAUUGAAGUGUGCUAUGAAAAUUCCCCACAAUCUGUCAUGUCUUCCAUGCUUAAGUUGACAUGGUGGAAAUCAUCUUGAGGUGCCACAUUUUAAGUGGGCCGUACGUGCAAUGGUGUGGUGCUCCGAAAGGAACGGUAGCAUGGGUUCCUAUAGCAUUGGAUCGUUUUCUAAACAAUAUGCAUUAUGUGUUUAUAAAUUUUAGUAAUUGUACAUACAUGUCCCAGUUUAAAAACAGAUUAACAUACAUUAUAAUUUUAAGGGCUGCCUAUAGCGUUACACCUAUACUAUAGCGUUUCAACUCCUAUCCACCUGUACUUUCGACCUCUGCCCAAUUCACCUUAUACUUGUUUUAAACUUCCUAAUUCCACCUAAACUAUUAAAUUCUCCAUAAUUAACCAAAAUCAAGAACUCUCUAUAAUUGCGAUUAAAAAUCGUUCAAAUCGCGUUUACUGUAGGCCAACCCGAGUCAGAUCCGACCAGCUUCGAAGACUUCUUUCACCAUAAGGGUUUGACUCGUGUUCAUUUGUUUUGUCGGGUCAACCUCGGAUUAAUAUAAACACAUAUUUUUUUACUGCAAUUUGAACUAUUUUUAAUCGUAAUUAUAGAGAGUUGGGCAGAUGUCGAAAGUACAUGUGGAUAGGAGUUGAAACGAUAUAUAUAGUAUAGUUGUAACGCUAUAGGCAGCCCUAAUUUUAAUAAGAAUGAUAUAAACUCAACUAAACUUCCUCUUCUUAGUUUGAAACUUUGCAUGACCAUUAACUCUCUUAUACUGCAUAAGACAUAAUUAGUGACAUAUUUUUUUCUUUCUAUUAUCAAUAUUUUCGUUAGCAUGUACUCGUUGUAAGAUGAAUAGAGAAAUAAUUGAAUUAUGAAAUAACGAAAUCAAUGUAUAUAUAUAUAAAACAAAAACAAUUUUACGCUGAACAAUUUUUUUUUAAAAAAAGGCAAAAAAAUUGCUUGUUUCAUAUUAUAGGAUGUUUUGGACCUUUUUUUUUGUUUCACAAUAUAUAAUGCUUUGAAGAAAAAAUACAAGUUUCUAUGUAAAACAUUAAAUUUAAUAGAUUAUUGACUAUUUACAUUAUGCAGUAAAUUAUAUCACUGAUUAAAUUAUUUUUAAUAGAUAUUAAUUUUUGUUUUAAUGUUAAAAACUCAAGAUUAGUUAAUUUCUUAAACUUUGUGCUUUCAUCUUUUUUUUUAUCUUUUUUUUUUGUCAUCCGAAAUUAAUUAUACCUCAAAAGAGAGAGUAUUAUUUGAAACAAAGAGAGUAUUAUUUAGCAGAUAAAUGACUUUUAUCUGAUUUAAUUAUAAUUUUAAAAUGUGCGGGAUGAAUUAAAAGAUCAUUUAUCAUUUUUCACGUUUUGUUUUUUUCCAGUUAGGUUUUUGUGAAUGGUUUUUACUCAGCGUAAUCAUGUUUUAAGAACAAGAACGUGAGAAAGUUAACAAAAUACCGUUGCAAGACUUUAUUUUUGUUUUACACAAAAUGUAGUUUUAUAUUUUCAAAGUAGUUUUUUUUAAUAGAAUUUACUUAUAUUCUUUUUAGUUAAGAUAAUCAAAUGGGAAAAUAAAAAUAUUAAUGUGUUAAUACAAGAUAAUAGAAAUUUAAUCAUUUUAAUAUAUAUGUAAAAAGUAUUCAACCGAUAUUUACAAUUAGACAGAACUAAGAAGUAUUAAAUUUCUCACCUCACCUCCCAAAAGAAAGGAGCCAAAAGCAACCGAUCAAGUGGAGACCAGUACUAGCCAUACACAUUCACUCGUUCCCUUACAAGAGAAAGAUAAGAUUAUGGAGUUUUCUGCCACUUGGUCUUAUCCUAGUGGUCCGAAUUGAUAAGGGUUUCAACACCUUUCCUUAAUCCUGUGGCAAUUAACGACGUUAUCAUGAAUUAUGGCCACUUUGAUCAUUAGGGCUUUUUGCCUUGCAGUUCUCACUAUAUAAAGAUGACCAAAUCAAUCGACAAACAAGUAAAAGAAACAACAAGAAGUAGUGAUGGCUUCAUCUAUGCUCUCCUCUGCCGCUAUGGUUACCUCCCCAGCUCAAGCCACCAUGGUCGCUCCAUUCACCGGCUUGAAGUCAUCCGCUGCUUUCCCGGUCACCCGCAAGGCCAACAACGACAUUACUUCUAUCUCAAGCAACGGCGGAAGAGUUAGCUGCAUGAAGGUAAUGUCCUAUAAAAACUGUAUUUUGUCAUGUGUAAUUAGUGAAAUUGAACAAAACUUAGAAUAAUUGGAAUUGGGAGUUAUAGGUGUGGCCACCAAUUGGAAAGAAGAAGUUUGAGACUCUAUCUUACCUCCCUGACCUUACUGACGUCGAAUUGGCUAAGGAAGUUGACUACCUUCUCCGCAACAAGUGGAUUCCUUGUGUUGAAUUCGAGUUAGAGGUACUAAACACCGAACUUUUCCUUUGUCUCUAAUCAUCCUUUAUUAUUUCUGUUCAUUGGUAGAAACAUAAGUCAAUAACCGGAUUUUAAAACCCGAAAUAGACUAUAACCGUGUGACUCCUCGACUAUCAAUGGUAUUGAAUGGUUUUGUCAUCUGUUUAUAGCACGGAUUUGUGUACCGUGAGCACGGAAACACUCCCGGAUACUACGAUGGACGGUACUGGACAAUGUGGAAGCUUCCAUUGUUCGGAUGCACCGAUUCUGCUCAAGUGUUGAAGGAAGUGCAAGAAUGCAAGAAGGAGUACCCUAAUGCCUUCAUUAGGAUCAUCGGAUUCGACAACAACCGUCAAGUCCAAUGCAUCAGUUUCAUUGCCUACAAGCCCCCAAGCUUCACCGAUGCUUAAUUCCCUUUCUGGAAUGUUCAACGUUGACUAGUAUUUCGGAAUCCAAUUCUAUGUGGUCAAUGCAAAUUUAAGAAAUUAAUUAGCCGACUUAAAAGUUGAGGAAUUAUUGUGUGAAAGUGAAAAAUUUGAAGGUUUUUUCUAUCAAUUUCCUUAUAAUUAUAUUUACUCAUUUGAUUUCAUUUUUUUUCUUCUAGCUCUUUGAGCUCUAUUUUUCGUUUAGCUCCUUUUGACAACAUUCCGGUUCAUUUAAAUUCUCCUCAUUAUUCUUGCUUUUGAGAAAUUGGCUACAUUGUUUCGAGAAAUUUUGCACAUGAAAGCAUAACAAAGAUGCCUCAAUUUAUCAAACCUCGAUGAUUUAGAACAAAAGAUUAUUUAAGGGGGUGUAACCUUUUAAGAUGAAAUAGCCAUUGGAGAUAGCAAAAGGUAGUAAAAGACGUAUACACUAUAAACAAAAUCCAAAUGUAUGCUUUUAAAAUUAUAAACAUGUAUUCCAAACGCCUAAGUGGAAUAUUCAGUUUAAUUCAAGUCCAAGAAAUGGCAUUAUAUAAAGCAAGGAUCGACAAAGACUGAAAUUUGUCUAGCAUGAAGUUACUAAAUUUUGGAAAUUGUGUUCACGUUAAAAGCUGAAACUUAACAGUUAUUUAUAAGGAAAAGCAGUUAAUGUUCCCAAAAAGUUCUAAAUGAAACUAGAAACCAAAUGAUAAAGAAAACGUAGCAUCUACAUGUUUGGUUUUAGUUUUUUUUUUUUUGACAAAAAUAUUCAAAUGUUUUUAGAUUCUUCUAUGCAAACGAUAUAUAGAAAAUAUAUACAUGAUUCAAAUAUAAUACAAAUAAAAAUAAUUAUUGAAAUUACCGAACAUUUUUUUGCAUCUCCCUGAUUUACUUCCCACAUUUUCGUUUCAAAUAAAAUUCAAGAAAAAGAAAGACGACGAAAAAAAAUGACUUAAAAAGACAAGGGACAGAAGCUGGUAACUUAGAUGGAUGGGUUAGGACUAUCUCACUUUCGAAAAAUGUUUAUUUGGUUGAGGUGCGGAGUGGAGUGGAGCUUGUGAUUCUUUGCCCUAUAUGAGAGUUUUUUCGUGACCAAUUAUGGUGAUUGUGUACUUUGUAUACAUGUUUCUUCUCAUAUGGUUGAAAUGGGGGCAUUUGUGAGCUUUAAGGUGGCAGUCUUGAUCCACGACCAUAGCUUUACAUGACUUUAAGGUGAGUUCUUGCCUUGGUUCUACACCGUUGAUUGAAAUGAAUUAUGAAAAUUCCUCAUGAUCCGCCAUUUUUACAUGCUAAGUUUUUUUUUUUUGAAAAAUGCAUGCUUAAGUUGAAACGGUGGUUAUCAACUUGAGGUGCCAUAUUUGUGAUUAAGUGGGCCGUAAGUGCAACGGCGUGGUACUCAAAGAGGAACGGUGGGGUGGGUUUCACAUCGUGAUUGUGAUGUGAGUAUGUAUGUGACCAGAGUCCAGGGCCGGCUCAAAAUUAUUCGAGACCUUGUGCUGAUGUAUAAAAAUUGGUUUUUAAAUAAUAUAGUGAAAAUUUUGGACCCUCAAUCUUAGAGGAAAUUGAAAUUUUUUUUUGAGGACCCUGUGCUUUUGCUCCUCUAGCACACCCUUAGAGCUGGCACUGCCAGAGUCACAAGAUAAUCGUGAGCUGGUCUUACUUGUUGAUCGAGAGGCAGCAUUAACUCAUAUAGAAGAAACCAUGGACCUCCGACCUUGGGAGGUUUUCUUGGAAAUUCUUCCAUGAUGGAAGCUUACCGCAUGAGCAUGAUACAGGUAGAUGCAUGAUGGUUUCGGUUGUUUGCUCGAUCGCUUUCUACCACAAACAUAUCUUGCAUCUAAUUGUUGUUGCCUUGUUGGUUCUCAAAUAUUUACUCUCGAAACAGUAAGAUGUUGUUAGCCAUACGUAAAUCAGAAAUAAAAGUAUAGUUGGCUAAAACUGCAGUGAGUAUAGAAUUAACCGAUAUCAAUUUAUUCAAAUUUCCGUCUCUCUUUUCUUUUGUUGGCUAAUAUAUUAUCAUUUGAAGAUAAUAUAUAGUUUUUCCAAGAAAAGAAUAUUGACAAUUUUUUUGUGGUAAGUGAUUUUAAGAAUGACUCCAGAAUCGACAGGUUACCCAGACAAUAUUUAUCAUGGAUAAACCUAUCGAAAAAUCUUAAAAAUCAGUAUUAAUAAAACGGAAGUAGUAAUGAACUUCUAAGCUAUGCAUUACAAUACAUUUAUCUCAAUGUCGAAUUUAAAUAAUUUUCUUAGAACUCCUUUUUUAAUGCGACCUUAUUCACCAAAUCAAGUGAAGCCAAAUUAAAUCAUGCAUGGUAAAUAAAAUAUCCAAAAGCAUUAAAUUUAAGGUAAUGCGUCUGAUUUCUUUCCUCCCAAACGAAAGGAGCCAAAAGCAACCGAUCAAGUGGAAACCAAUAACCACACAUUCACUUCGUUUCCCCCACAAGAGAAGAUAAGAUAAUGGAGUUUUCUGCCACGUGGCAUUAUCCUAGUGGUCCGUACCGAUAAGGGUGUCAACACCUUUCCUUAAUCCUGUGGCAGUAAACGACGUUAUCAUGAAUUAUGGACCCUUUGAUCAUGAGGGGCUUUUUUCCUGUUGCGGUUCUCACUAUAUAAAGAUGACAAAACCAGUAGACAAACAAGUAAGUAAGAGAAAAGAGCAAAAGAAGAAGAGAAACAACAAGAAGUAGUAAUGGCUUCCUCUAUGCUCUCCUCGGCCGCUGUGGUUACCUCCCCGGCUCAAGCCACCAUGGUCGCUCCAUUCUCCGGCUUGAAGUCAUCCGCUGCUUUCCCGGUCACCCGCAAGGCCAACAACGACAUUACUUCCAUCGCAAGCAACGGGGGAAGAGUUAGCUGCAUGAAGGUAAAGUAAAGUCAUUAAUGAAAGAUGUCUUUUGUCAUGGCAAUUAGUGUAAUUGAACAAAACAUAGAAUAAUUGGAAUUGGAUUCGGGAAUUAUAGGUAUGGCCACCAAUCGGAAAGAAGAAGUUUGAGACUUUAUCUUAC
RNAcentral lists this long non-coding RNA (7212 nucleotides) under Arabidopsis lyrata. Its description in RNAcentral is "long non-coding RNA (ALYR_LNC001107)". Lineage: Eukaryota; Viridiplantae; Streptophyta; Magnoliopsida; Brassicales; Brassicaceae. The record is from RNAcentral.